CUCUUCUGGAGUUUUGCAGGGAUCCCAGGGGCAUAGCCUGGAGUCUUAAAGUCGUGGGAAAGCCCAAACGAUUUGUUUGCCCCCUUCUGAGGAACUUCUUGAGCUUCAUUUUAGAAUGCAAUUGACAGAAGUUCAACUCAAUUUUCUUCUUUUCUUGCUUCUGAAAGUGUAUCUUUACAAGAAAGAUAACACACUUUGCAAGCAGUGUAGAGGCAGCUGAUCUAUCUCCAGAAACCAGGAAAGAGCAAUGCUCAGGGCCUGAAAAGUGAAGCUCAUCUGCAGGACUCAUAUCACAAUAACAGCUGUCCUUUGCCAAGAAGAGAACUAAAGAAACUCGAUGGAAAAAAAAAAUCAGUACCUCAUCUUAUAUUAGAAAGUAGUGAUGUCUUCACUACACAAAAAAAAAUUCAGAUAGGCUUUCUUUUUCAAUUUUAAGUCAUGCGUAGAAGACAAAACUGAAACAUGCUGGUUGGCUAAACUCUUUGUCAUUCCUGCCAUGGACCAACUUUGAUUCUUAAAUAAACAAGAUUUCCUCUGA
Long non-coding RNA from Lagopus leucura (white-tailed ptarmigan), 538 nucleotides. RefSeq lists it as uncharacterized. The transcript has 3 exons. Lineage: Eukaryota; Metazoa; Chordata; Aves; Galliformes; Phasianidae. The record is from RefSeq and is a predicted model, not a curated record.